This 508-nucleotide ribosomal RNA is filed under the name uncultured Congregibacter sp. RNAcentral's name for it is "bacterial SSU rRNA". It matches the Rfam family "Bacterial small subunit ribosomal RNA", at positions 78 to 582 of the family's 1533-position model. Lineage: Bacteria; Pseudomonadati; Pseudomonadota; Gammaproteobacteria; Cellvibrionales; Halieaceae. The record is from RNAcentral.
GUCUUCGGAUGAGUAGAGCGGCGGACGGGUGAGUAACGCGUAGGAAUCUACCUGGUAGUGGGGGAUAACUCGGGGAAACUCGAGCUAAUACCGCAUACGUCCUGAGGGAGAAAGCGGGGGAUCGCAAGACCUCGUGCUAUCAGAUGAGCCUGCGUAGGAUUAGCUAGUUGGUGGGGUAAAGGCCCACCAAGGCGACGAUCCUUAGCUGGUCUGAGAGGAUGACCAGCCACACUGGGACUGAGACACGGCCCAGACUCCUACGGGAGGCAGCAGUGGGGAAUAUUGGACAAUGGGGGCAACCCUGAUCCAGCCAUGCCGCGUGUGUGAAGAAGGCCUUCGGGUUGUAAAGCACUUUCAGCGGGGAGGAAGGCGUCGUGACUAAUAUUCACGGCGAUUGACGUUACCCGCAGAAGAAGCACCGGCUAACUCCGUGCCAGCAGCCGCGGUAAUACGGAGGGUGCGAGCGUUUAUCGGAAUUACUGGGCGUAAAGCGCGCGUAGGCGGCUUG